RNAcentral lists this non-coding RNA (120 nucleotides) under Thermacetogenium phaeum. RNAcentral's name for it is "MoCo sequence". It matches the Rfam family "Molybdenum/Tungsten riboswitch aptamer (Moco RNA motif)". The record is from RNAcentral. Lineage: Bacteria; Bacillati; Bacillota; Clostridia; Thermoanaerobacterales; Thermoanaerobacteraceae.
GUUAAUUACGUUCCCCGAAUUCAUUUGCCUGUGGCUUUGGCUAUGGCGGGUGAGUCGGUAGGGUUCGUCCGGAAACGGGUAGGCCUCCCGUUGCGGAAAGGGUGAACAGGAUAAUGCUAU